RNAcentral lists this small RNA (246 nucleotides) under Jaculus jaculus (lesser Egyptian jerboa). RNAcentral's name for it is "Metazoan signal recognition particle RNA (ENSJJAG00000007808.1)". The record is from RNAcentral. Lineage: Eukaryota; Metazoa; Chordata; Mammalia; Rodentia; Dipodidae.
GCUGGGUAUGGUGGUGCAUGCCUUUAAUCCCAGCACUUGGGAGGCAGAGUAAGAGGAUCACCAUGAGUUCGAGGCCACCCUGAGAGUACAUAGUGAGUUUCAGGUCAGCCUGAGCUAGAGUGAGACCCUACCUCGAAAAACAAAAACAAACAAAAAAAAUGCAGAUUUUCACUUUAGCUCAGCUGACCUGGAAUUCACUAUGUAGUCUCAGGGUAGCCUCAAACUCAAAGCAAUCCUCUUACCUCU